This 73-nucleotide transfer RNA is filed under the name Deferribacteraceae bacterium. RNAcentral describes it as "tRNA-Gly". It matches the Rfam family "tRNA". Rfam says of the family: Transfer RNA (tRNA) molecules are approximately 80 nucleotides in length. Their secondary structure includes four short double-helical elements and three loops (D, anti-codon, and T loops). The record is from RNAcentral. Lineage: Bacteria; Pseudomonadati; Deferribacterota; Deferribacteres; Deferribacterales; Deferribacteraceae.
GCGGGUGUAGCUCACCUGGUAGAGCGACAGCUUCCCAAGCUGUAGGUAGCGGGUUCGAGCCCCGUCACCCGCU